GGAGAGGUGGCCGAGUGGUUGAAGGCGGCGGUUUGCUAAACCGUUAUACGGGGGAAACCCUGUAUCAAGGGUUCGAAUCCCUUCCUCUCCG
This 91-nucleotide transfer RNA is filed under the name Elusimicrobiota bacterium. RNAcentral's name for it is "tRNA-Ser". It matches the Rfam family "tRNA". From Rfam's summary of the family: Transfer RNA (tRNA) molecules are approximately 80 nucleotides in length. Their secondary structure includes four short double-helical elements and three loops (D, anti-codon, and T loops). Lineage: Bacteria; Pseudomonadati; Elusimicrobiota. RNAcentral also lists the same sequence under 1 other name. The record is from RNAcentral.